UAAUCUUGCAGAAUAUUUGACUUGAUUGGUGCUCCCGGAGAGUUUAGAUGCUACAAUAUUAAAGAUCAUCAUCAAGUCCCGUGAGUUACAUGUCCAUUUUAAAUUGCUUUAUUAACAAAAAAUACACAUAAGCCUUCAUUGCUCUUUUAGACUUUCAAGUGCAACUAGGCAAUUGAUACUGAAUACUAGCAGCAGCCAUUCAAUACAUAAAUUCAGUAUCAGCAUUAUAAAAUUUGGUUCAAUCAACACAAAUUUCUUUUUCUUUUUAGGAUAACCAACAUGAAGAUUGACAUACAUAAACAAAUAAAAUGAUGUCUUCUAUCACCAUUUUUAGAGUGAUACAGAAACAGCAAACUGAUCCGCUCCAAGUUUGUGAAAUAAAUUUGUUCGACCUAAUCUCCACCAGGUAAAUAACCAGGAGUAGAAUUGAUG
This 432-nucleotide long non-coding RNA is filed under the name Carica papaya (papaya). RNAcentral's name for it is "long non-coding RNA (CPAP_LNC010546)". Lineage: Eukaryota; Viridiplantae; Streptophyta; Magnoliopsida; Brassicales; Caricaceae. The record is from RNAcentral.